UAAGUGGAACUAGAAAUUUGUUUGUGGUGAAAGGGGAACAGAUAGGCUUUGUUAUUUCUGUUUUAACUUAUACCAUUUUCUUACAUUCCAUAUUUUUCAGAGUAUAAGACGGACCUUAGCUUUUGGGGAGAAAAUAAGAAAAAAGAGGAUUGGCAGGUGGAUCGGCCUCCAAUCAGCUGUUCCCAGAGAUGACAAAGAUGAAAUGCCAGUCCGAUGCGGAGUUAGGCUCCAGGCUAAAAAACACCUUGAGAAAGCUCCAAAUGAAGUGUGCCUCUUGUUAGAGGAAUCCAAAUCAAUCAAGCAAUACAUACAUCAAAAAUAAC
Molecule: long non-coding RNA, 323 nt
Organism: Ahaetulla prasina
Lineage: Eukaryota; Metazoa; Chordata; Lepidosauria; Squamata; Colubridae
Exons: 3
Source: RefSeq, a predicted model, not a curated record